UNAAAGAGAUAGGAGUUGAACCUACGACUAA
Molecule: transfer RNA, 31 nt
Filed under: Polypedates leucomystax (Java whipping frog)
Lineage: Eukaryota; Metazoa; Chordata; Amphibia; Anura; Rhacophoridae
Description: partial tRNA-Gln
Source: RNAcentral